GAUUAACGCUGGCGGCGUGCCUAACACAUGCAAGUCGAACGAGGUAGCAAUACCUAGUGGCAGACGGGUGAGUAACGCGUGGUCAACCUACCGUUGAGUGGGGGAUAACUAGCCGAAAGGUUAGCUAAUACCGCAUACGUCUCCGAGGGGCAUCCCUUGGCGAUAAAAGGAGCAAUCCGCUCGAUGACGGGACCGCGUCCCAUUAGCUAGAUGGUGGGGUAACGGCCUACCAUGGCACCGANGGGUAGCUGG
RNAcentral lists this ribosomal RNA (252 nucleotides) under uncultured bacterium. RNAcentral describes it as "partial 16S ribosomal RNA". It matches the Rfam family "Bacterial small subunit ribosomal RNA", at positions 28 to 290 of the family's 1533-position model. The record is from RNAcentral.